Molecule: long non-coding RNA, 919 nt
Organism: Numida meleagris (helmeted guineafowl)
Lineage: Eukaryota; Metazoa; Chordata; Aves; Galliformes; Numididae
Source: Ensembl
UUAAGUCUGGUCUCAUUAUAUAGUAUAGGUAUUUUCUCUCAUUUUUGAAGAAGUUUUAGAGUUAAUAGGGCUUUGGUCUGAGUCAGGAUUUUGAACUCUCUGGGAUCUUUGUCCUAGAUUUCAGCAUUGGCAGGUGGAACUCUCUGUAGCCAGCUGACAUUUUAGUGGCUACUUUAUCUAUCAUAUCUAAGGAAUGCAAUGUCUCCAGAGUUGCGAGGACAUCAAAUUCCUAUGGCCAAGCAUUCAGCGAGCUACACAGCUGACAUGCAUAUCAAUUUAGGCAGACGGCAUCAGCAAAACACAAUGAAGGCCUUUACUGUAAGCAAAUGCAGGACAUCCGUGUGACCUUCUCAACCACCCCAUCAUUCACACAGCCAUCUGAGAGCAUCUGAAGCAGAAGCUAUCAGUGUUUCCUUGAGACCUUGUAACAUAAAGCCCGUAUCAUGAAUUGAAGAGCUCAAGCUGUUGACUAUAAGGAUCCUGGCACUGCGACUAAAGAAUGGUACCUAGCGGUGUCCAUUCGUACGUUAACAUCUGCAGCCCUUGAAGGGGCCACUUGCUGCUGAAGGCAGGGAGCAGGCUAUUAUGGGCAAGUUACCCAGUCCUCUUUCAGCUGCUGUUUUGCUGAAGUGCCAGGUGCAAAAGAUGUGCUCAGAAAGGGACUAUAGAAAAAAGUAAUGGUCACAUCAGUUACAAACUGAUAAUUGCUCACUCGGUAUUUCCUCAACAUUCAGCCAUCUAGCUGUUUCAGUAAUCAUUUUCCUGUUCUUUCUUUCUAUUAGUGGUGGGCUAAAUAUUGGGAACUGUUUCCCAUCUUUAUAGCUCUAAACCUCUAUUGAAACCCUCAAGUGUAAUGUAUAGCAUUAGCUUCAGCGUGCAUGAUUAAUGUAGUCACAAGCUUAGCUCUGGAAGGAAUCCA